Molecule: long non-coding RNA, 527 nt
Filed under: Gallus gallus (chicken)
Lineage: Eukaryota; Metazoa; Chordata; Aves; Galliformes; Phasianidae
Source: RNAcentral
GCUGGGUUUCCGGCUGCACCACUAUCUUCAGCUCCUUCCCCUCACUUUUGGUUGGAUACUGACCACACAACAUUGGGGUCUUCUUCCCUCCAGCUCCUUUCUGGCUCUCCGACGCUCCAUUUCCUGCUUUUGAGUUGCCUUUGCUGUCCGUGCUGAGCUGAGAAAGGACAUAGUGAGGCGCUUUGGCACUGUCGGCAUCAAAUAUAUCCAUGUUGGACUCUUCACAAUCUCGGCGUUUGAUCCCUGGCCUCUGCUUUGGAUUUCGUUUGCGUGAUUUACGUGGCACCUCAGUGUUAUCAUUGUAGGAACUGGUACUCAUGUUACUGAAGUUGGAGGGUGAAUCCUCCAUCCACAUACUGCAGCUCUGUUCUGAUUCCAAUCCACACCCCUCAUCUUGGCAGGACAUCCGACUGUUGUCCAGCAAGUCCUCAGGUGGUGGCGAGAUGUACAGCACUGUGUGUCUCUUCGGCGUUGACUGCUGCUGCUGGACCGUGUUACUGGUUAACUGCUUUUCACUUACCCCUCGG